Molecule: ribosomal RNA, 447 nt
Filed under: uncultured bacterium
Lineage: Bacteria
Description: bacterial SSU rRNA
Rfam family: Bacterial small subunit ribosomal RNA
Source: RNAcentral
UCGGGAAUUUUGGGCAAUGGGGGAAACCCUGACCCAGCAACGCCGCGUGAAGGAUGAAGUAUUUCGGUAUGUAAACUUCGAAAGAAUAGGAAGAAUAAAUGACGGUACUAUUUAUAAGGUCCGGCUAACUACGUGCCAGCAGCCGCGGUAAUACGUAGGGACCAAGCGUUGUUCGGAUUUACUGGGCGUAAAGCGCGUGUAGGCGGGUCGUUAAGUUGGGGGUGAAAUCCCGAGGCUCAACCUCGGAACUGCCUUCAAAACUGGCGACCUGGACUCAAGUAGAGGCAAGUGGAAUUGCGAGUGUAGAGGUGAAAUUCGUAGAUAUUCGCAGGAACACCAGUGGCGAAGGCGACUUGCUGGACUUGUAGUGACGCUGAGACGCGAAAGCGUGGGGAGCAAACAGGAUUAGAUACCCCAGUAGUCCCUGAGCGGGCUGGCAAGGCGCAU